GUGGGAGAUGAGGAAAUGUUGGACGGGCAAGGAGGCAUGGCUGAGUCAAAUAGGAAUCCUGACUUAAUGAAGUGGUGAUUAAAGAGCUCAGCCAUGUGCUUCUUGUCAGUAACAACCACAUCAUCAACAUUAAGGGACAUGGGCAGCUGUGAGGAGGAGGAUUUAUUCUCCAGGUCUUUAACUGUUUUCCAGAACUUCUUGGGGUUCGACCCACAGAGAGAGAACUGCUCCUUAAAGUAACUAACUUUGGCCUUCCGGAUAGCCUGAGUGAAUUUAUAUCUCAUUUGCCUGAACGAGAGCCAGUCAGCCUGAGUAUGCGUGUGCUGAGUCUUUUGCCAAAUGCAAUUCUUGAGGUGGUAGUAACUCUGCAAGAUCACGGUCGAAUCAGGAGCUGAACCUGUUUUUUUAAUUCUAAUUUUCUUUAUGGGGGCGUGUUAUGUUAACAAUACCACUGAAAAUAUAAAAAAAAUAAGGUCCAAGCAUCUUCAACAGAUGGGAACAAGCUGAUUCUAUACCAUUUCACAGAGGCCAGGUCAUGAAGGGAAGGCUUGCUCGUUAAAGUUGUUUAGCAAGCGUCUAUGACAAAUCAGGAAAGGUGGUUUCACUGGGCAGCCAUUACGAACACAGGCUGUAAAACAGUGAUCACUAAGGUCCUUACAGGAAACACCAGACUGAUACCUACCUAUCAGGAUUAUUUGUGAGGAUAACAUUGAGGAGAGUAGCCUUGUGGGAUUGGUGAUAAUCUGAGCAAGAUUUAGGGAGUCCCAUUGCUUUAGGGUUUAGUCAGGUGGUUUAAGCAUGUCCCAGUUUAGGUCACCUAGCAGGACAAAUUCAGACUUAGUGUAAAGGGUACAGGCCUGUGCUGAGGGCAGGUAGGGUACAGGCCGGUGCUGAGGGCAGGUAGGGUACAGGUAGGGUACGGGCCGGUGCUGAGGGCAGGUGGGGUACGGGCCGGUGCUGAGGGCAAGUGGGGUACGGGCCGGUGCUGAGGGCAGGUGGGGUACGGGCCGGUGCUGAGGGCAGGUGGGGUACGGGCCGGUGCUGAGGGCAGGUGGGGUACGGGCCGGUGCUGAGGGCCGGUGGGGUCCAGGCCGGUGCUGAGGGCCGGUGGGGUCCAGGCCGGUGCUGAGGGCCGGUGGGGUCCAGGCCGGUGCUGAGGGCCGGUGGGGUACAGGCCGGUGCUGAUGGAGGACGAUAGCACCCAGCAACAGUCAACAAAGAGCUAUUUGAAAGUUUUUAAAGCUUAAAAACGAGCAAAUCAAAUUGUUUGGGGGACAGACUUGGUGGAGACAACUGAGCACUGAAGGUGAUCCUUGGUAAAAGAUUGCCACUCCACCACCUUUGGAAGAUCUGUCUUUCCGAAAAAAAGUUUAGAACCAGAAAGGUUAAACAUCAGGAUUCAAAACACUCUUCCUUAACCACAUCUCAGUAAUGACCAACACAUCUGGAUUGGAGAUGUGAACCCACACUUUCAAUGGAUCCAUUUUAGGUAAUAAGCUUCCGAGUGUUAACGUGCAGAAAACCCCAAGGCUUUU
Molecule: long non-coding RNA, 1535 nt
Filed under: Salmo salar (Atlantic salmon)
Lineage: Eukaryota; Metazoa; Chordata; Actinopteri; Salmoniformes; Salmonidae
Description: lncRNA (ENSSSAG00000082314.1)
Source: RNAcentral